UGGACAAAAACAAAGCAAAAUUACACCAUAAAAUAGGGAAAAUCAAUGUGGGGCUUAGAGGAAUGACUCAAUAUUGAUAAGGGUUGGUUGCAUUUACCAACAACCUAUUUCUAUUCUCAGAAUCAUCCAGUGCCUAAGAGCACUUACAUCUCUGGGACCUGAACCUCUCUUCUGGACACUAUAGGUGCAACAUAGGUGGUAAAAACAGACACCCAUGGGAGCUCUGAAGAAUUAGCUACCGUAUGCAGAAAAACCGUGGACUAAACCCUUCUGAAAAUGUGCUGUCAACAGAAACAAAAUCCUGCGCUUCCUUCACUACAUGAUUUUUAUAAAG
RNAcentral lists this small RNA (334 nucleotides) under Rattus norvegicus (Norway rat). RNAcentral describes it as "uncharacterized LOC103693918". Lineage: Eukaryota; Metazoa; Chordata; Mammalia; Rodentia; Muridae. The record is from RNAcentral.